CUUCCAACAACGGAUCUCUAGGCUCUUGCAUCGAUGAAGAACGCAGUGAAAUGCGAUACGUAAUGUGAAUUGCAGAAUUUUGUGAAUCAUCGAAUCUUUGAACGCACAUUGCACCCUAUGGUAUUCCGUAGGGUAUGCCUGUCUGAGUGUCA
This 152-nucleotide ribosomal RNA is filed under the name Calongea prieguensis. Its description in RNAcentral is "5.8S ribosomal RNA". It matches the Rfam family "5.8S ribosomal RNA". From Rfam's summary of the family: 5.8S ribosomal RNA (5.8S rRNA) is a component of the large subunit of the eukaryotic ribosome. It is transcribed by RNA polymerase I as part of the 45S precursor that also contains 18S and 28S rRNA. The record is from RNAcentral. Lineage: Eukaryota; Fungi; Ascomycota; Pezizomycetes; Pezizales; Pezizaceae.